GACGAACGCUGGCGGCGCGCUUAAUACAUGCAAGUCGAACGAGAAGCUCGGUGCUUGCACCGGGUGGAAAGUGGCGAACGGGUGAGUAACACGUGAGUAACCUGCCCCGGAGACUGGGAUAACUCGAGGAAACUCGGGCUAAUACCGGAUGUCUUCGCUGGACCGCAUGAUCCGGCGAAGAAAUGGUCAGCCGCUCCGGGAUGGACUCGCGGCCUAUCAGCUUGUUGGUGAGGUAACGGCUCACCAAGGCAACGACGGGUAGCUGGUCUGAGAGGACGAUCAGCCACACUGGGACUGAGACACGGCCCAGACUCCUACGGGAGGCAGCAGUAGGGAAUCUUGCGCAAUGGGGGAAACCCUGACGCAGCGACGCCGCGUGCGGGACGAAGGCCCUAGGGUUGUAAACCGCUUUCAGCAGGGACGAAAUUGACGGUACCUGCAGAAGAAGGCCCGGCCAACUACGUG
RNAcentral lists this ribosomal RNA (465 nucleotides) under uncultured bacterium. Its description in RNAcentral is "bacterial SSU rRNA". It matches the Rfam family "Bacterial small subunit ribosomal RNA", at positions 28 to 507 of the family's 1533-position model. The record is from RNAcentral.